Molecule: ribosomal RNA, 301 nt
Filed under: uncultured bacterium
Lineage: Bacteria
Description: partial 16S ribosomal RNA
Rfam family: Bacterial small subunit ribosomal RNA
Source: RNAcentral
CAGUAGCCACGGUAAUACCGAGGGUGCAAGCGUUAAUCGGAAUUACUGGGCGUAAAGCGCGCGUAGGUGGUUUGUUAAGUUGGAUGUGAAAUCCCCGGGCUCAACCUGGGAACUGCAUCCAAAACUGGCAAGCUAGAGUAUGGUAGAGGGUGGUGGAAUUUCCUGUGUAGCGGUGAAAUGCGUAGAUAUAGGAAGGAACACCAGUGGCGAAGGCGACCACCUGGACUGAUACUGACACUGAGGUGCGAAAGCGUGGGGAGCAAACAGGAUUAGAUACCCCAGUAGUCCCUGUCUCUUAUAC